UGGGCAACCUGCCCCCGACCCUGGGAUAACCCCGGGAAACCGGAGCUAAUACCGGAUACUCUCCUCCGACCACAUGGUCAGAAGAGGAAAGGUCCGCCGGUCGGGGAUGGGCCCGCGGCCUAUCAGCUUGUUGGUGGGGUAACGGCCUACCAAGGCAUCGACGGGUAGCUGGUCUGAGAGGACGACCAGCCACACUGGGACUGAGACACGGCCCAGACUCCGUACGGGAGGCA
Molecule: ribosomal RNA, 233 nt
Filed under: uncultured bacterium
Lineage: Bacteria
Description: partial 16S ribosomal RNA
Rfam family: Bacterial small subunit ribosomal RNA
Source: RNAcentral